GUUGAGUGUUGAGAGUUAGAUAGUGGCGAACGGGUGAGUAACGCGUAGAUAAUCUGCCUCAAAGAUGGGGACAACACUUGGAAACGAGUGCUAAUACCGAAUGUGGUAUCUUGUGUGCAUACAUGAGAUAAAAAAGAUGGCCUCUGAAUAUGCUAUCGCUUUGAGAUGAGUCUGCGUCUGAUUAGCUAGUUGGAGAGGUAAAAGCUCACCAAGGCGACGAUCAGUAGCCGGUCUGAGAGGAUGAACGGCCACACUGGGACUGAGACACGGCCCAGACUCCUACGGGAGGCAGCAGUGGGGAAUCUUCCGCAAUGGACGA
RNAcentral lists this ribosomal RNA (319 nucleotides) under Rhodopseudomonas palustris. RNAcentral describes it as "bacterial SSU rRNA". It matches the Rfam family "Bacterial small subunit ribosomal RNA", at positions 62 to 378 of the family's 1533-position model. The record is from RNAcentral. Lineage: Bacteria; Pseudomonadati; Pseudomonadota; Alphaproteobacteria; Hyphomicrobiales; Nitrobacteraceae.